AAUUAACCCCUUUAGGUCUAAGCCCUUAGAGCGCAAUAUCUACUAAGCAAAUAUAUGGAAUUGUUUUAAGGACCCCUGCAGGUAUAAAAAAAAUAUACCUAUAUUUGAUAAAACAUUGAAUUUGGCCUUUACUGCUAUAGCCCAUAGAAACGCAUUGAAUAACACAUUUGUACAUGGCAAACAGACGGUGUCUGUCCUAUUUCUGAGAAAUAUAAGAACUUUGUGAGAGUCUCCCUUUUCUAUAUUGGUGACAUAUUAUUUUGUAGCUCCAAUGGUUCGGUCUGGACAACUUGUUCUGUGAGAAGAUCUCUUCGAAAUGAGGAUGUCCGCGACAGAAAGUUCAGACAACUGACGUAAAGCUUGUGGAUGUCGUAGAGUGGAACAACCGUUGUGUUCGUGAGUCUCAUUUUUCGAUGGUGGUGACACUAGUUUGUAGCUCAAUCCUUUCGGGUUUUACACAUGAUUUCGUGAUGAUUUUCUUGUCUGGAUCCUGUCAUGCAGAGAAAAAGACCGCUUUCACAAACCCACGUUAUGGAAUAGGCUCAAACUCUAUAUCGGUGGAAAGAAGGGAUUGAGCUGCAGCCACAACAAGAAACAAGGAGAGAAGCCUAGCAGCAGGCUUUGUGAAACUCGUCGUGCACAUCAGAUACACACACAACAUCGAUGACUUCAGAGGGCUGGAGUACGUGUUUCUCCAUGAUAGGGCAUGUUUAAAGGAGAGAGUGAAGAAGAGAGAGGAAGAGAGGGCUGUCCACUUUGAUAGAAUGUGACAUGAACAUGGUUGACAACAUGAUGCGCCGAGGCAGGGUUCUCAAGCAUUAUGGACCAUUUACAGUCUGCUGAAGGCUCUGGAGAAGGGUGUCAUUAAUUCAACUGUCAUCCGUAUGACACCCCUGUUAAUGUGCAUGGUUCAGUCUUGGGGCCACUGAAGAUGGAGAGAAAAACAAGAUCAUGGAGUGAGCCAAGAAAUAUAUGGGAACAAUAGCUGGUUCCCCUUCUACGAAAAAUAGAAACAUUUCAUCAACUACCAUGUAUGUAUGUGUUAAUCUAGGCCAACAAUACAAAUAUCAGCAAGAUGUAUCAAGUGAUAAUUUCCAUGCUAUGAAAUUCUCAUGCCGUUACCAGGAAGGCUCUUUAGCUACAUCUUGACCCUAACAACUAAUUAAAAAACACAGAACAUGUUCAGUAGCGGAUGUCUUCUUCAGACAACAGCUGUUGGCCUCUCAGAGGGUCCAACUUUUUCCACCAGGACCUCACUGAUAGGGGUCAAGGACUGCUUCAUGUACACAAUGCUACAACAUGGCCGAACCCAGGGUCCCUUUUAAACCCGUUUUCCUCCACACAGAACAAUUUGGGAGCCCUGUCUCCACUCUUCGCUUUCUCCGCGGUGAAUCGCCGCACCAAAGGGCCUGUGAUGCCUAGUUUGAAGGGUGUGUGGGCUGUUCCUCCUCUCACCGCAACGUCCAAAUCUGUGAGCCAUCUGCUGUUAUCUGAGGAAUGUGCUGCACACUUUAUGGACAUAUAUGUACCAGCGCUUUGACGUCUUCCCUAUUUUUAGACACCGGCCCCGCUGCUGGAGGUUGUUAUUAUGAUGUCAC
Molecule: long non-coding RNA, 1598 nt
Filed under: Salmo salar (Atlantic salmon)
Lineage: Eukaryota; Metazoa; Chordata; Actinopteri; Salmoniformes; Salmonidae
Description: lncRNA (ENSSSAG00000110763.1, ENSSSAG00020063463.1)
Source: RNAcentral